AGAGUUUGAUCAUGGCUCAGAAUGAACACUGGCGGCGUGCUUAACACAUGCAAGUCGAACGGUAACAGAGAGAAGCUUGCUUUUCUGCUGACGAGUGGCGCACGGGUGAGUAAUAUAUAGGUAAUGUGCCUCUUAGUCUGGGAUAGCCAUUGGAAACGAUGAUUAAUACUAGAUACUCCUUCUAACUAUAAUGUUAGUCGGGAAAGUUUUUCGCUAAGAGAUCGGCCUAUAUCCCAUCAGUUAGUUGGUAAGGUAACGGCUUACCAAGACAAUGACGGGUAGCGGGUUUGAGAGGAUGAUCCGCCACACUGGUACUGAGACACGGACCAGACUCCUACGGGAGGCAGCAGUGAGGAAUAUUGCACAAUGGGGGAAACCCUGAUGCAGCAACGCCGCGUGGAGGAUGACGCAUUUCGGUGUGUAAACUCCUUUUAUAUGUCAAGAAAAUGACGGUAGCAUAUGAAUAAGCACCGGCUAACUCCGUGCCAGCGGCCGCGGUAAUACGGAGGGUGCAAGCGUUAUUCGGAAUCACUGGGCGUAAAGGACGCGUAGGCGGGUUGCCAAGUCAGGUGUGAAAUCCUACAGCUUAACUGUAGAACUGCAUUUGAAACUGGUACUAAAAGGUAUGGGGAGGGGGGGGAUGGUAUUUAGUGGGGUGUAAGGGGUAAAAUCCGUAGAUAUCACUAGGGAAUACCGAAAGCGAAGGGCGAUCUCCUGGAACAUAACUGGACGGCUAGGGCGUGAAAGCGUGGGGAGCAAACGGGGAUUAGAUACCCCGGGUAGUCCACGACCCUAAACGAUGAACACUAGUCGUCGCGAUGCUUGUCAUUGGCGGUGAUG
Molecule: ribosomal RNA, 840 nt
Filed under: uncultured bacterium
Lineage: Bacteria
Description: bacterial SSU rRNA
Rfam family: Bacterial small subunit ribosomal RNA
Source: RNAcentral